Molecule: ribosomal RNA, 253 nt
Filed under: uncultured bacterium
Lineage: Bacteria
Description: partial 16S ribosomal RNA
Rfam family: Bacterial small subunit ribosomal RNA
Source: RNAcentral
UACGGAGGGUGCGAGCGUUAAUCGGAAUUACUGGGCGUAAAGGGUGCGUAGGUGGUUGAUUAAGUUAUCUGUGAAAUUCCUGGGCUUAACCUGGGCAGGUCAGAUGAUACUGAUUGACUCGAGUAUGGGAGAGGGUAGUGGAAUUUCCGGUGUAGCGGUGAAAUGCGUAGAGAUCGGAAGGAACACCGGUGGCGAAGGCGGCUACCUGGCCUGAUACUGACACUGAGGCACGAAAGCGUGGGGAGCAAACAGG